This 484-nucleotide ribosomal RNA is filed under the name uncultured bacterium. Its description in RNAcentral is "partial 16S ribosomal RNA". It matches the Rfam family "Bacterial small subunit ribosomal RNA", at positions 29 to 507 of the family's 1533-position model. The record is from RNAcentral.
AUUGCACGCUGGCGGAAUGCUUUACACAUGCGAGUCGAGCGGCAGCGCGGCCUUCGGGCUGGCGGCGAGCGGCGAACGGGUGAGUAAUGCAUCGGAACAUGCCCAGUCGUGGGGGAUAACACUUCGAAAGAAGUGCUAAUACCGCAUACGUCCUGAGGGGGAAAGCGGGGGAUCGCAAGACCUCGCGCGAUUGGAGUGGCCGAUGUCAGAUUAGCUAGUUGGUGGGGUAAAGGCCUACCAAGGCGACGAUCUGUAGCUGGUCUGAGAGGAUGAUCAGCCACACUGGGACUGAGACACGGCCCAGACUCCUACGGGAGGCAGCAGUGGGGAAUUUUGGACAAUGGGGGCAACCCUGAUCCAGCCAUUCCGCGUGAGUGAAGAAGGCCUUCGGGUUGUAAAGCUCUUUCGGCAGGAACGAAACGGUGGGCUCUAACAUAGUCCGCUAAUGACGGUACCUGAAGAAGAAGCACCGGCUAACUACGUG